RNAcentral lists this ribosomal RNA (372 nucleotides) under uncultured organism. RNAcentral describes it as "partial 16S ribosomal RNA". It matches the Rfam family "Bacterial small subunit ribosomal RNA", at positions 527 to 896 of the family's 1533-position model. The record is from RNAcentral.
GUAGGUGGCAAGCGUUGUCCGGAAUUAUUGGGCGUAAAGCGCGCGCAGGCGGUUCUUUAAGUCUGAUGUGAAAGCCCACGGCUCAACCGUGGAGGGUCAUUGGAAACUGGAGAACUUGAGUACAGAAGAGGAAAGCGGAAUUCCACGUGUAGCGGUGAAAUGCGUAGAGAUGUGGAGGAACACCAGUGGCGAAGGCGGCUUUCUGGUCUGUAACUGACGCUGAGGCGCGAAAGCGUGGGGAGCAAACAGGGAUUAGGUACCCUGGUAGUCCACGCCGUAAACGAUGAGUGCUAAGUGUUAGGGGGUUUCCCGCCCCUUAGUGCUGCAGCUAACGCAUUAAGCACUCCGCCUGGGGAGUACGCCGCAAGGCUG